This 741-nucleotide ribosomal RNA is filed under the name Methylorubrum sp. RNAcentral's name for it is "bacterial SSU rRNA". It matches the Rfam family "Bacterial small subunit ribosomal RNA", at positions 112 to 889 of the family's 1533-position model. The record is from RNAcentral. Lineage: Bacteria; Pseudomonadati; Pseudomonadota; Alphaproteobacteria; Hyphomicrobiales; Methylobacteriaceae.
AACACGGUGGGAACGUGCCCUUCGGUUCGGAAUAACUCGGGGAAACUUGAGCUAAUACCGGAUACCCCCUUUUGGGGAAAGGUUUACCGCCGAAGGAUCGGCCCGCGUCUGAUUAUUUUGUUGGUGGGGUAACGGUCUACCAUGGCGACGAUGAAUAGCUGGUCUGAGAGGAUGAUCAGCCACUCUGGGACUGAGACACGGCCCACACCCCUACGGGAGGCAGCAGUGGGAAAUAUUGGACAAUGGGCGCAAGCCUGAUCCAGCCAUGCCGCGUGAGUGAUGAACGCCUUAGGGUUGUAAGGCUCUUUUGUCCGGGACGAUUAUAACGGUCCCGGAUGAAUAAGCCCCGGCUAACUUCGUGCCAGCACCCGCGGUCAUACAAAAGGGGCUAGCGUUGCUCGGAAUCUCUGGGCGUAGAGGGCGCGUAGGCAUACGAUUAAGUCGGGGGUGAAAGCCUGUGGCUCAUCCACAGAGUUGCCUUCGAUACUGGUUGGCUUGAGACCGGAAGAGGACAGCGUAUCUGCUAGUGUAGAGUGAAAUUCGUAUAUAUUCGCAAGAACACCAGUGGCAAACGCUGCUGUCUGGUCCGGUUCUGACGCUGAGGCGCGAACGCGUGGGGAGCACACAGGAUUAGAUCCCCUGGUAGUCCACGCCGUACACUAUAAAGGCCAGCCAUGGUCUGCUUGCAUGUCAGUGGCGCCCUCAACGCAUUAAGCAUUCCCCCUGGGGGAGUACGGUCGC